GAGGAGCCUGCGGCGGAUUAGCUAGUUGGUAAGGUAACGGCUUACCAAGGCGAUGAUCCGUAGCCGGCCUGAGAGGGCGGUCGGCCACACUGACACUGACAUACGGGUCAGACUCCUACGGGAGGCAGCAGUCGGGAAUUUUGGGCAAUGGGCGAAAGCCUGACCCAGCAACGCCGCGUGAAGGAUGAAAUCCCUCGGGAUGUAAACUUCGCAAGAAUGGGAAGAAUGAGCGAGCGCUAAUACCGUUCGUGAUGACGGUACCAUUUGUAAGCUCCGGCUAACUCCGUGCCAGCAGCCGCGGUAAUACGGGGGGAGCAAGCGUUGUUCGGAUUUACUGGGCGUAAAGGGCGCGUAGGCGGCCAGCGCAAGUCAGUUGUGAAAUCUCCGGGCUUAACUCGGAAAGGUCAACUGAUACUGCGCGGCUAGAGUGCGGAAGGGGCAACUGGAAUUCCCGGUGUAGCGGUGAAAUGCGUAGAUAUCGGGAGG
Molecule: ribosomal RNA, 486 nt
Filed under: uncultured Acidobacteriota bacterium
Lineage: Bacteria; Pseudomonadati; Acidobacteriota
Description: bacterial SSU rRNA
Rfam family: Bacterial small subunit ribosomal RNA
Source: RNAcentral